CAACUUUCAGCAACGGAUCUCUUGGCUCUCGCAUCGAUGAAGAACGCAGCGAAAUGCGAUAAGUAAUGUGAAUUGCAGAAUUCAGUGAAUCAUCGAAUCUUUGAACGCACCUUGCGCUCCUUGGUAUUCCGAGGAGCAUGCCUGUUUGAGUGUCAUGGA
This 159-nucleotide ribosomal RNA is filed under the name Oligoporus balsameus. RNAcentral's name for it is "5.8S ribosomal RNA". It matches the Rfam family "5.8S ribosomal RNA". Rfam says of the family: 5.8S ribosomal RNA (5.8S rRNA) is a component of the large subunit of the eukaryotic ribosome. Lineage: Eukaryota; Fungi; Basidiomycota; Agaricomycetes; Polyporales; Postiaceae. The record is from RNAcentral.